RNAcentral lists this ribosomal RNA (383 nucleotides) under uncultured bacterium. RNAcentral describes it as "bacterial SSU rRNA". It matches the Rfam family "Bacterial small subunit ribosomal RNA", at positions 958 to 1331 of the family's 1533-position model. The record is from RNAcentral.
AACGCGAAGAACCUUACCAGCGUUUGACAUGGCAGGGCGGUUUCCAGAGNUGGAUUCCUUCUCGCAAGAGACCUGCACCACAGGUGCUGCAUGGCUGUCGUCAGCUCGUGUCGUGAGAUGUUGGGUUAAGUCCACGCAAACGAGCGCAACCCUCGUCCUUAGUUGCAACACAUUCAGUUGUGCACUACUAAGGAAACCGCGGUGAUAAGCCGGAGGAAGGUGGGGAUGACGUCAAGUCCCUCAUGGCCCUUACGCGCUGGGCUAACAACGUGCUAAAUGGCAGGUGACAAAUUGGGGUUUGCCACCCCGGAGGGGGACGCUAAUCUCAAACAGCCGUCUCAGGUUCGGAUUGCACUCUGCAAUCGAAUGCAUGACAGGCGGAA